Molecule: ribosomal RNA, 450 nt
Filed under: uncultured bacterium
Lineage: Bacteria
Description: partial 16S ribosomal RNA
Rfam family: Bacterial small subunit ribosomal RNA
Source: RNAcentral
GUGGGGAAUAUUGGACAAUGGGCGAAAGCCUGAUCCAGCCAUGCCGCGUGUGUGAAGAAGGUCUUCGGAUUGUAAAGCACUUUAAGUUGAGAGGAAGGGUAGUAACCUAAUACGUUGCUACUUUGACGUUACCGACAGAAUAAGCACCGGCUAACUUCGUGCCAGCAGCCGCGGUAAUACGAAGGGUGCAAGCGUUAAUCGGAAUUACUGGGCGUAAAGCGCGCGUAGGUGGUUCAGUAAGUUGGAAGUGAAAUCCCCGGGCUCAACCUGGGAACUGCUUUCAAAACUGCUGAGCUAGAGUACGGUAGAGGGUGGUGGAAUUUCCUGUGUAGCGGUGAAAUGCGUAGAUAUAGGAAGGAACACCAGUGGCGAAGGCGACCACCUGGACUGAUACUGACACUGAGGUGCGAAAGCGUGGGGAGCAAACAGGAUUAGAUACCCUUGUAGUCC